ACUUUAAGAAACUUGAGGUUUCUACGUCGAGUGGUACGCUCAGCUUGAUCAAGAAUACGCACGGGGUAUUCUCGGUAAGAAAGGUUAUCUUGUAGAUCAAGCGUUUUGUGGUCCACUUCACGGAUAGGAUCCGAAAAGCAACGCCUGAGUUGCGAGACGUGGAAAACAUCAUGAACCUUGGAAAGAUGCGGAGGAAGUUCCAACUGGUAGGCAACUUCUCCUCGUUUGGCAAGAAUGCGAAAAGGUCCAAUGUAACGAGGAGCCAAUUUGCCCUUGAUACCGAAUCGAUGGGUGCCCUUCAAAGGUGUAACCCGAAGGUAAGCCUUCUCGUCAACUUCAAAGGUCACAGCCUUAUGAUGACGAUCAUAUUGGCUCUUUUGACGAGACUGGGCUGUUUUCAACUUUUCACAAAUAAUGCGAACCUGCUCUUCUGCAUCUUGGAUCAUGUCCGGGCCAAAGAGUUGCCUCUCUCCGGUUUCUGACCAAUUAAGAGGGGUUCGACAUCUUCGUCCAUAGAGAACUUCAAAAGGGGCUUUGCCCAAGCUUGAUUGAUAACUAUUGUUAUAAGCGAAUUCGGCGAAUGGAAGACACUUCUCCCAAUUCAUACCGAAUGAAAUAACACAAGCUCAGAGCAUAUCUUCUAGGAUUUGAUUCACUCUUUCUACUUGACCACUUGAUUGAGGAUGGAAAGCAGUGCUAAAAGAUAAGUGAGUCCCCAUGGCAUUCUGAAAACUUUCCCAGAAGCGAGAAGUAAAGAUACUUCCACGGUCCGAGUUAAUUUCCAGGGGAACACCAUGAAGAGACACUAUUCGAGAGAUAUAUAACUCUGCUAGCUGGCUAGCUGUUAUACUCUCACGAACAGGAAGAAAAUGAGCCACUUUGGAAAGACGGUCAAUGACCACAAAGAUAGCAUUAUUUCCUUUCUUGGUCUUGGGAAAUCCGGUAAUGAAAUCAUGCUAACUUUAUCCCAUUUCCAUUCAGGAAUAGCUAAAGGUUGAAGGGUGCCAGCAGGCCUUUGAUGUUCUGCCUUAACUCGCCGACAAACGUCGCAGUUAGAAACGAACUCAGCAAUUUCUCUCUUCAUCCUAGUCCACCAGAACCUCUGGCGUAGGUCCUGAUACAUCUUAGUACUACCGGGAUGAAUGGUGAGAGGAGAAUCAUGAGCCUCCUUAAGGAUUAACUACCUUAGAUGUGGGUUCUUAGGAACCACUAACCGAUUCUGGAAGAACACCACACCUUGAUCGACGACCAGGGCGACGAGGCGGAGCUAAUGGCGUGCUCUGGGAGGGGAUCCUAUGGCCAGGGGCACGGCCAGCUCGAGCUCGAGCUCGGCUCUAAUGGCGGCAGCAGGGAGAAGGAGGAGAUCCGGGAGGAGGAGGAGAACCGAGGCGGGGAAUGGAUAGGGGAAGCUUUGGGGAGCUUAUCCCCAUCGUCGCCAGCACGAACCGGCGGCCAGGCAGGCACGCAGGUGCGUGGCCGCGCCGGAGGAGGCGGCGGCCACCUCCUGCUGCCUACUGGCGCGAGGGAGGGGAUGAGCGGGGAGAUGGGCCGGGCCUGGNNNNNNNNNNNNNNNNNNNNNNNNNNNNNNNNNNNNNNNNNNNNNNNNNNNNNNNNNNNNNNNNNNNNNNNNNNNNNNNNNNNNNNNNNNNNNNNNNNNNGUCAGAUAUUCUUCCAACCCGUCUAUGACGGAUGUUCCUGCGUUAGCUCAUGUCUAGCCUGCAUCUUGCCAUGUCAUGCUUUGUGUUGCAUCGUUGCUAUUAUUUAUUGUUUCUUCCCCCUCUUCUUACCGGUAGACCCCGAGGCUGGCGCUGAUGCCGGGUACAUCUACGACCCUACCGAUCAGUCCUUUGCUGCACAGCAGCAAGGUAAGCAAACCCCCCUUGAUCAUUCCUAUAUCGCCUAUGUCUUUCUUCCUACUGCCCGCAUUUGUAUUUUGCUACUGUUGUAGUUAGCUCCUAUAUCUGAUGCAUAGCCCAUUUUUGAUGAACUGCUACUUUCAGUCAUGUACCUUUAAUAUGCUUAGNNNNNNNNNNUGAUCCCUAAUCGACGAGCCAGACCCGACACAGCACAUACACCCCCCUUAGUUGUACGAUGCUACAGAGAUACUAUCGAGUACCGAGGGUGACACCUCGCUAAGUACUCCUGAUGAUAUCUCUGUAGUAUAGCUAGUUGGUCGUGGUUAUCGAGGGUGAUUCCUCUUUCACCAUUCUCGACGAUGCCACUGUCGUGCAACCCCUCAAGUGUGGGACCCCCGAGGGCGAUUCCUCUAAGCCCACCUUGACGGAUACAUCGUUCGUAAUCCAACGANNNNNNNNNNACUCGCAUUAGUAUUUUGCUACUGUUGUAGUUAGCUCCUAUAUCUGAUGCGUAGCCUAUUUUUGAUGAACUGCUACUUUCAGUCAUGUACCUUUAAUAUGCUUAGUAUAGGUGGAGCAGUCAUCCCCUCUGACCCCGUAGUCCAGUUGCCCCGCUUGUUUUCAAAUCUCGAUCCCUCAUCGACGAGCCAGACCCGACACAGCACAUGCACCCCCCUUAGUUGUAUGACGCUACAGAGAUACUAUCGGGUACCAAGGGUGACACCUCGCUAAGUACUCCUGAUGAUAUCUCUGUAGUAUAGCUAGUCGGUCGUGGUUAUAGAGGGUGAUUCAUCUUUCACCAUUCCCAAUGAUGCCCCUGUCGUGCAACCCCUCAAGUGUAGGACCCCCGAGGGUGAUUCCUCUAAGCCCACCUUGACGGAUACAUCGUUCGUAAUCCAACGAGGGUGAUACCUUGGAUUCCCCCCCCCCCGAUGUUACAACCACACAAUUACUCAACCAUGUUACAGGGUUCAUGGGUGAUUAGUUGUUAAGACGGGUGGAUUCCCGCGAGAUUGUGUCGAAGGCCUAAUUAAAAUGUUAAUGGAUUUGGGUAUUCGAUCUUGGUUGGUCGGAGACCUUUUCGCACUAACCGUCUAUGAGGGAAGAAUUAUGGGUACUCGCCGUCGCGGUAUCAGCCGGAGCUUUUCAGAUGUCAGCAACGUAGUGGCACGCGCCCGAGUGGUCCCGAGAUGCAUCGCGCUUGUGAUUAAGGGAUGCUAGNNNNNNNNNNGUUCAUGGGUGAUUAGUUGUUAAGACGGGUGGAUUCCCGCGACAUUGUGUCGAUGGCCUAAUUAAAAUGUUAAUGGAUUUGGUUAUUUGAUCUUGGUUGUUCGGACACCUUUUCUCACUAACCGGCUACGCGGGAAGAAUUAUGGGUACUCGGCAUCGCGGUAUCAGCCGAAGCUUUUCAGAUGUCAGCAACAUAGUGGCGCGUGCCCGAGUGGUCCCGAGAUGCAUCGCGCUUGUGAUUAAGGGAUGCUAGGACUGACGUCGGCCGCCCUCGCAUCGUGCAGGAGCGCAAAGGGGAACUGGGCCCAUGAACCCUUUGCGCUUAGGAUUUAGACCGACUGGCAGGCCUCUCUGAUUAGUCUUAGGUGAGGCUGCGACGUAUCGAUAUUCCGAGGCCGGGCAGGACCCAAAAAAGUGUGUCCGGCCAGAGUGUUAUCGAGCGUGACGGGACAUGUGGUGCACCCCUGCAGGGAUGNNNNNNNNNNUCACGGUUACAGUACGACUUGGAGUUGGGCCCUGAUCUUAUACAACUACAAUUUUUACUUAACUGGAUCAUUAGUUUGCCUCGGGUUUCCUUCCUCGCAGGGAGUCGAGGGAGGAUCUCUGGGCGUGACCUCACUUUAAUAAUGCUGCAACAAUAUGGCUAUUAAUGUGUUACCCCUGUUCGACUCUCGUCUAUUGCUGCAAGACCCUAAAGAUCCUAGUCUUCGAUAGGACUAGGCCUUCUCUCUCUAUUCUCGCAUUGCUGCAGUCAGUCCAUAUAUAACCACCACCCCCCUUCUUUGAUACUGAUGCAUACUUAGAAUAGUUCUGAUGUAAGACUUGCGAGUACUUUGGAUGAGUACUUACCGCUGCUUUGCUCCCCCCUUGUCCCCAUGAUCCGUUUGCUGCAACCAGAUGAUGGAGCCCAGGAGAUGGAGGCUCCCGCCGACGAUGACUGCUACCCCGACGGUGCCUACUUCUACGUGGAGGCCGCUGAUGAUCAGGAGUAGUUAGGAGGCUCCCAGGCAUGAGGCCUCGCCUCGUUCGAUCGUUGUAUCUUUUGUGCUAGCCUUCUCUAAGGCACCCCAUGUUUUAUGUUUGUACUCAGAUAUUGUUGCUUCCGCUGACUCAUGUGUUUAUCGAGCUUCCGUAUUUUAGCCCUCGAGGCCCCUGGCUUGUAAUAUGAAGUUGAUAUUGUUUUAUUGGUGUCUAGAGUUGUGUUGUGAUAUCUUCCCGUGAGUCCUUGGGUUUGANNNNNNNNNNACGUGUAUGAUUAGCGUACGAUUAAAUCGAGGGCGUCACAAGUUGGUAUCAGAGUCGGCUGCCUGUAGGUAGCCCCCUUUGCAACUCCUUGGCCGAAGUUGAGUCUAGUAUUUGAAAAACUUUACUAACACUGAUGUUGUGGCUUACGGGCCCACAUCUCAAUCGGGUGGUAUUAGUAUCUUUUACACCUUUCCUAUACUCUAGGUUCUACUCUCUCUUCUCUUUCGGGUCAAAGAUUUUACUAACUCUAACAUUAGGUUCUCGUAAUCACAUCGACCCGGAGCGCUGGACUAUCUACUCUUUUCUCCUGAAUAUAUAUUACACACAUUGUCAUUUGACAUCCGUCAAUCUUAUUUUCAGAUGCGUCCCUCAAGACAGCACGUGCGCCUGACCCAGGCCACUGAGACGACUGGGUUCCCGGCCAUUUUGGUCGACCUCCUGACCAGGCUGGGAUAUCGCUGGUACCCCGAGUACACUGUGUUCGAGGAUUUCUGCGAGUACAACCAGUACCAGUACCAGGCUGAGGUUCGCAUCUUCGACCAGAUGGGCGGCGAGGCCCUUGAGCGCCACGUCUUCUAUGGUAUUGGAGUGUCGGUCGAGAUGACCGUCCAUGAUGCGGACUACAUUGCUAUCACCCGCCUCCGUGGAGCGUACCCUCAGCUCGAGGAGAGCCCUUUCACAUACAUCCCACAUGCUCCUGCUGGGGAUGAGACUGGGUCUAAUCUCACUGCUUAUGCUUCUGACGUUCGGGAGCAUAGCGACCGUUCCUACGUUGUUGUCUGCACCCCCUACAUGAUGCGUCGCUACGACGCGCGGUUUCUGGUGCAGUACACUGAGGCACUGGAUCGUGAUUUUCGAGCUCUGACUGUGGAGUUGUAUGCUAUGCGCGCUCGUCUUUAUGACGCAUUGACAGAGCUGCAGCCAUCACACUGCCCGAGGGUUCCCCCUAUGCGCAUCCGCGAGCCGAGCAGAAAAGAGCUACCAUCAGCUCUCGAGUGGACUGAUGUUGGGGGUAGAACCCCUGUACUUGGACCUCAGCUCCUCGACUGGAUGCGGUGCCCUCACCAGAGUCACAACGGGACACAGGGUCCUGUUCCUACCUUCGAUCACCGCCAGCUACCAGUAUUCGUUCGUCCUCUCCGACGUUGAUGUAGCCUUGUCGCUAUAUCUCGUUGUGGUACUCUUCCACCGCGUGCCUGCGUGCUGCCUAGUGAGUCCAGGGUAUCGUCUAAUGCGUCCGGGCUAUCGCCAAAUUUCGAGUUUGUAAUCGUUGGUCUGUAAUCGAACUUAUGUACAUGUCUGUAUGUCGAACUCAACUACUAUGAAGUAUCUACCGCAUUUCCCUUUCAUCAUGCUUGAUUACUUCAUGUAUGUGUGCGAUGCAUAUGCAAUUACUUUAAGCUAAACUACCCCUGUUAAAUAUUUAACAGGAUGGUUAGACGAGCUGGCCACCCGCGUGCCUGUGACAACGAUGCACCACCCCCGCCUCGUGAGUAUAUGGUGGGGAUGAUCCAACAGUUUGAGCUGAACCGCCAGUUUAUGCAAGGGCUCAUGGAUCAGUUCCAAAGGCCAAACAUGAACCAACCGCAAGGCGUGACACUGCAAGACUUCUGCCGCCUCAACCUGCGAUCUACCGCGGCUCAACUCAACCUCUUGAUGUUGAUGACUAGCUCCGUGACAUUUCUUAUGAGCUGGAGUCUGCCAAUGUGCCCCUGGCGAGCUAUGUCAACUUUGUCGCCUACUUCCUGAAGGGUCCCACUGCUCAAUGGUGGGACAGCCACAGGCGCACUCAGCCCGAUGGAACUAUCAUCACUUGGACAGAGUUCAGGGCUGCUUUCCGUGCUCGCUACAUUCCUCAGGGAAUCAUGGACCAGAAGAAGCGUGAGUUCCAUAACUUGGUCCAGGUUAACAAGACUGUGGAUGCUUAUUAGCGGGAAUUUCUGGACUUAUCUCGCUAUGCUGAAGAAGACAUUGCAACUGAUGCACGCAUACAGGAGAAGUUCCGUGAAGGCCUCCACCCUGAUAUCAAGCUGACACUCCUCGUUCAAGACUAUGCUGAUUUCGCCACCCUGGUGAACAAGGCUAUUCAGGUUGAGACUCGUGUGCAGGAAUACAAGGAUAGCAGCAAGCGCAACCGUGACAUGGGCUCAUCUUCGGGCUCAUCUACACAGAAGCGGAAGAUCUGGAUUCCCAACAACAUGUACCAUGCACCUACUCCUGCUCCAAGGCCAUCCUAUGCUCCACCUCGCCUGCCUCCUCCACCACCUAGGCAGCCGAGGCUUCCAACUCCACCGCCUCGAGUUCCUCCUUCCCGUCCUGAGGACGGGCUAUGCUUCAAGUGUGGCCGUCCAGGUCACCAUGCCAGAGACUGCAGGCAGAAUCCAAAUCAGCUGACACUUCCCUCAACUGGUAGUGGCAACAACCAGAACCGCAACUUCAACGCUAAGCCUGCUUAUGUUCGUGGUCAGGCCAACAACAUUGAUAUGGGUCAAGCUCAAGACCAGCCUGCUACCGUGAUGGGUACACUUCUUGUUAACUCAGUACCUGCUUCUGUAUUGUUUGAUACACGAGCAUCGCAUUCCUUUAUGUUGGAAAAUUUUGCAUUCAUGCAUGGCAUUAAGUACGAAGAGAUGAACGUCCCAAUAGUAGUAAGCACCCCCUCGGGCCAAUGCCGACCCUCCAUGGUCUGCUCCAAUGUCCCCAUUGAAAUUUAAGGAUUGGAAUUCUUUGCCUCUCCCAUGUUAUUAAGUUCUUCCAACAUUGAUCUCAUAUUGGGGAUGGACUGGUUGAAAGCUCAUACGGCAUCGGUCGUUUGUGCCACCAAGACCGUCCACCUCCUACACCCUUCAGAUGAAUUAAUAAGCUACCAUGCUCAUCUCGUCCGUAAUGCUGAGGCACGGCUGUAAGCUUUAAAUGCAUUAAAUGUGUCGCCUCUUGAAGGGAUUGAAAACAUUCCAGUGGUCCGAGAAUUUCAAGAUGUCUUUCUAGAAGAACUUCCGGGGAUUCCCCUUGCUCGAGCUGUCGAGUUUGUCAUUGACUUGGUACCCGGUACCACUCCUAUUGCCAAGCGUCCUUAUAAAUGCCGACACAUGAAUUCCUUUAACUUAAACAAGAAAUUGACAACUCGCUCUGUCUGGGUUUCAUUCGCCCGAGUUCCUCUGCUUGGGGAGCACCUUCUCUCUUUGUUAAGAAGAAGGAUGGGACAAAUCGAUUGGUUCAAGACUAUCGUCCUAUCAACCAGGCCACUAUUCAGAACAAAUAUCCUCUCCCUCGGAUAAAUGAUCUGUAUGAUCAACUUGCUAGUUCCACCGUCUUCUCUAAGCUCGACUUGAGAUUGGGAUACCACCAGAUCCAUGUUCGCAAAGAGGAUAUUCCAAACACCGCCUUUGUUACUUGUAAUGGAUCAUAUGAGUACACAGUCAUGUCCUUCGGCUUAACCAAUGCACCGGCAACCUUCUCUCGGUGACUGAAUUAUAUAUUCAUGGACUACCUCGACAAGUUCGUCGUGGUAUAUCUGGAUGAUAUUCUGGUAUUUUCGAAGAAUAAAGAGGAACAUGCCGAACAUCUUCGUCUUGUACUGGAUAAGCUUCGGGAGCAUAAACUCUAUGUGAAGUAUUCCAAAUGUGAAUUCUGGCUAGACGAAGUGACUUACCUUGGUCAUGUGAUUUCCAAGGAUGGUAUUGCAGUCAACCCCGAACGAAUUCAAGCUAUUCUUGACUGGACUCCCCCAAAGAAUGUCAAGCAAGUCAAAAGUUUUCUUGGACUCGCCAGCUAUUGCCAUCGAUUCGUCGAGAACUUCUCCAAGAUUGCGAAGCCCUUAACCAACCUGCUUCACAAAGGUGUUAAGUAUGAGUGGACUGAUAAAUAUUAGGAAAGUUUCCAGGCACACAAGGACAAACUGACAUCCGCUCCAGUACUUGCUCCUCUGGAUACAAAAAGGGAUUUCGUCAUAUACUGUGACGUUUCUCGUCAAGGAAUAGGUUGUGUCCUGAUGCAGGAUCGCAAGGUGAUUGCUUAUGCUUCACGUCAACUGCGUGCUCAUGAAGAGAACUACCCAGUUCAUGAUCUCGAGCUUGCCGCAGUUAUCCAUGCACUGAAAGAAUGGCGACAAUACCUUGUCGGUAAUCGCUGUGAAAUCUACACCGACCAUCAAAGUCUGAAGUACUUGUUCACUCAACCGGAGCUGAAUCUACGUCAACAAAGAUGGAUGGAGCGUAUAGCAGAUUUUGACUGUAGUAUAUCAUAUACCCCUGGCAAGGCUAACGUAAUGGCUGAUGCCUUGAGUCGCAAGUCAUACUGCAACCACCUCCAGGUUCAUAAGGUUCACGAUCGUCUGCAAGAGGAAUUCCGUAAGCUGAACCCCCAUAUUGUUCCUCGGGGUUACCUUGUUCCCCCUCAUGAAGAGUGUCAAAAGAUGAACCUUCGUUUUGUUAAUCAGGGUUCCCUCAGUAACCUAGUGGUUGAACCAGAUCUUCUGAGCUCCAUAAAGAAUCUGCAAGGCUUUGACGAUGAUGUCGACAGGAUUAAGAGCUAUAUUGCAAAGGAUAAACCCUCCUUUUCACUGUUGCUAAAGAUGGUGCCUUGUACUUCAAGGGUCGCCUAUUCGUCCCAAAUAAGAAGGAAAAUCUCAGGAAGACCGGAGAGGUGAUGAAAGAAGCUCAUGACACACCAUUGUCUAUUCACCCGGGUAGUACCAAGAUGUACCAAGACAUCCGGCAAAGAUUCUGGUGGCCCAAUAUGAAACAAGACAUUGCAGGCUAUGUGGCAGAAUGUGAUAUAUGCCGGCGUAUCAAAGCGGAACAUCAAAAGUCUGCUGGAACUCUGCAACCUAUCUCUAUUCCUGAGUGGAAAUGGGACCAUGUUGAAAUGGACUUUGUCACUGGUUUUCCCAGAUAUCAGAAAGGUAAUGAUGCUAUUCUUGUCGUCAUUGAUCGACUGUCCAAAGUUGCACAUUUCCUGGCCAUCAAAGAAACAAUUAAUGCUAGUCAGCUGGCAGAUCUUUAUCUGUCAAGAGUUGUUUCACUUCACGGUAUUCCGUUGGUCAUCACUUUGGACCGUGGCAGCUUGUUCACUUCAAAAUUCUGGGAAAGUUUUCAGAAGGCUAUGGGGACUCAUCUGUCCUUCAGCACUGCAUUUCACCCUCAAUCCCAGGGACAAGUUGAACGAGUCAACCAAAUUCUCGAGGACAUGCUUCGAGCUUGUGUCAUUUCUUUCGGUAAGAAAUGGGAGGAAUCUCUCCCGUAUGCCGAGUUCUCUUACAACAAUAGCUAUCAAGCUAGUCUGAAGAUGGCCCCUUUCGAAGUAUUGUAUGGAGGAAGGUGUCGAACUCCUCUGAAUUGGUCAGAAACUGGGGAACGAUCACUCUUCGGUCCGGAUAUUAUUCAACAUGCUGAAGAUCAAGUCCGCAUUAUUCAUGAGAAUCUGAAGGCUGCUCAGUCCCGUCAGAAGAGUCAGUAUGAACGUCAUCAUCAAGAUAUGGUCUAUCAACUUGGCGAAAAGGCUUAUCUUCGUUUCACACCAAUGAGAGGUGCACAUCGUUUUGGGAUCAAGGGCAAGUUAGCUCCUCGCUAUAUUGGUCCUUUCACUGUUCUCGAAAGGCGUGGAAGAGUGGCUUAUCAAUUGGAACUGUCGGCGAACCUUUCUCAAGUUCACGAUGUCUUCCAUGUUUCUCAGCUCCGUCGCUGCUUCAAGGAUCCUAUUCGAGUAGUGGAUCAUGGUAUGCUUGAGCUGCAACAAGACCUCUCUUAUAAAGAGCAUCCGGUCCGCAUUCUCGACCAAGCUGAACGUAAGACUCGUCGCAAGGUCACCAAGUUCCUUAAAGUGUAGUGGUCAAAUCAUUGUGAAGAUGAAGCCACUUGGGAACGCGAGGAUCAUCUUCGUGAUGAAUGCCCCGGGCUCUUUCCUUCUACCUCUUAAUUCUUGGGAUGAGAAUUCUUGUUAGUAGGGGAGAAUUGUGACAUCCUCGAAUUUUGCUACAGUGAUGAUUGUAAUUAAGCGGCACUGAUCCCGCGCUAAUGAUGCCACGUCAUCGUUCAUUAUAUCAAUGAUCUCGUGUUGGUUGAAACCGAAUCAAAGUUCGAAACUUAAAAUUAAAGUCAGAUGAGAAAAGAUUUUAUAUUGUUGAAAUAAAACGUCGGGGAGUUAUAAAAAUUCCCUAGUGGAUUAUAAUAUCAAAUCAGGCACUUUAGGAAUUAUGGGUAACCCCUAUAUAUUUAAAAGUGGAGCUUUAAAUCAAAUAAAUAAAAGAAAUAUAGUAAAUGAAAAUAAAUAAAUAUAAGAAAGAAUUAUAAGUAUAUAAAAUAAAUUAUAAAAGAAAGUAAAUAAAAUUAGAUAAUAAAAGGAAUUAGAAAUAAUAAUAAAAACUAACUAGAGGAAACCCCAUGGCCCAAUUCGGCCUAGUGGCCCAGCCGGCCAGGCCAUCCACCAGCCCCGCAGGAAAACCUAGGGGCGCCCCUGGCUCCCCUCGCUCCCUGGCUGCCGCCACCACGUUCCCUCCUCCCCUCGGCACACACCCUCCCGAGCCCCACCUUACCCACCAACCCCACCCACCGAGAGAAUCCUCUCGGCCUCUCUCUCGUUACCCCAACCCCCAUCGACACUUCCUCAUCCACCCCGCUCCCAGAACCCCACUACUGAAAUUCAGAAAUUUGCCGUCUGCCAAAGCAGACGGCAAAGGGUGCAACCACGGACGGCAAAGGCUUUGCCGUCGGUCAGCUGACGGCAAAGUAGACGGUAAAAAAAAUCCGGUGAAGAGGUUCUUUGCCGUCUACUUUCCCAAAGCAGACGGCAAAGAAUCUUUGCCAUGAGGGGGCAGACGGCAAGUUAACUCGGACGGCAUAUAUUGCAACGUCCCCGUUANNNNNNNNNNNNNNNNNNNNNNNNNNNNNNNNNNNNNNNNNNNNNNNNNNNNNNNNNNNNNNNNNNNNNNNNNNNNNNNNNNNNNNNNNNNNNNNNNNNNUAUUAAAUAGGUCAUUUUGGAGCUAACUAAGCUAAUUAUGUNNNNNNNNNNAGAGGAGAAGGAGAGGAGAAGAAGAAGAAAAUAAGAAGGAGAAGGAGAAGGAGGAAGAAGGAGGAAGAAGAAGGAGAAGGAGGAGCUCCUUCUCCUUCUUCUCCUCCUUCUUCUCCUUCUUCUUAUCCUCCUCCCUCUCCUUCUUCUUCUUCUCCUCUUCUUCUUCUUCCUUCCUUUCAUUUUUCCUCUUUCUUCUCCUCUCGUCCCCUUCUUCGGGCUAAAUUGGAUAAGAAUGCCUUUUUGGAGCUAAUUAUGUCAUUUUGAGGAUAAUUAGCUAAGUAUAGGCCAUUUUUUAUUAAAUAGGUCAUUUUGGAGCUAACUAAGCUAAUUAUGUCAUUUAGAUGGAUAAUUAGCCAAUUUAGGCUUUCUUGGAUGAGUCUAAGCUACGUAGAAGAAGAGAAAGAGAAGAAGAAGUAAAAGAAGGAGGAGGAGGAGGAGGAGAAGGAGAGGAGAAGAAGAAGAAAAGAAGAAGGAGAAAGAGAAGGAGGAAGGAGGAAGAAGAAGGAGAAGGAGGAGCUCCUUCUCCUUCUUCUCCNNNNNNNNNNNNNNNNNNNNNNNNNNNNNNNNNNNNNNNNNNNNNNNNNNNNNNNNNNNNNNNNNNNNNNNNNNNNNNNNNNNNNNNNNNNNNNNNNNNNAUUCAAAUAGGUCAUAAUUCCUUAUGACCAGGGGUAUUUUUUGCUUUACUUUUUGCAUCAACAGUUAGCCUAUGCAUUUAUUUUUGUUGUUUGUGUUGGUUUUAAAUAAGAAACCCCAGUGGGUUUCUUUUCCUCUAUCAUGUGCCAGCAUGGGCCUCUUUCUCCCUCCCGAGGCCCAUCUCCCUCUCUGUUUCCCAGCGAGAUCCCAAGCGCGCUCCUUCUUCUUCUCCUGACGGCGUGUCUUCCCCCCGUGCACGCUUUCCGUCAGAGACUCCAGUGAGAGAGCGAGCGACGCUGUGAGGCUCACGGACGUCGAGGCCCAUAUAUUCCUCAAUGUGCGUGCCCCCUUUGGCCUAGGGUUCCGCGUCCCCCUCCUAGCGCCGCCACUUUUCCCCUCCAUCUCCUUCUUCCUCCCUAAGGUAAGAUCUGUAGAGGUAGCAGAGAGUAGAGCAGUAGGCCGCCGCCGUCGUCCACCGUGCGUGCCUCGUCUCCGGUGCCGGCCAGCAUGUCACGGAGCUCGGGGAAGGCCUCCACGUUCCAUUCCCGUCAUCGAUGAGGCCGGGGAGCGACCACACCGACAGGCAGCUCCUCCUCUCCGGCGUGUUCCCGGCGGCCCCGUUCCUGCUUCGGUUCUGCGACACAUCAUCUACAGGCUUCUUCAGAUCGUCGUCAGAUCUUCUUCAGGCUUCUUCCCCGAUCGGCGUCCUCUUCUCCUUUCUCUAGGUUAUCCUAGCUCUUCCUCCCUUCCCCUUCGUUAGAUCCGGCCGAUGAGCGUUGCUGUGCCUCUGUUCGAAGAGGAGAACGAUAGUGCCUGUCUGGAUGUGUUGUUCUUUGUGUGUGUGCUCUGCUCGUCGUGGCUCAGGGAAACGGCUUCCCACGCAGCAGUAGUGGAGAGUAGAUGAACCCCGCGGCGCAGCAGCAGGAGUAGGACACCGCUCCGGUGGCGUUGCUGCAUCGUUCCUCUGUGUAGAGCAGAGCAGGGCGAUCUAUGCUCUGGUAUAGGUUACCUUGUUAAUNNNNNNNNNNCCUUGUUCUGUCAAGUCUCAUAGCGCAGCGUAGUGGUUUGCAGUGUAUUGUGUUGAUCAGGCGGUCGUGGGUUCGAGGCCCCGCGGUGCCACCCCCUUUUUGGUGUUUAUUUUGGCACAAUAGCUGCAAGGGGACAGUUUACCCUGCUUGUUCCCCUUGUUCUGUCAAGCAAGGUGCAGUAGAAGGAUUGGUUUGCUUGUGUGUGUGUGUGUCCAGGGGCACCUGGGUUCGAGUCCCUCCAAACCCCUUUUGUAUUUUUUUGCUUAUUCCAUGCUGUUUUCUCUUUUGCUUGAAAGAUUGGUGCUACAGCUUGCUUAGUCACCAUGCGGGGUAUUUUAUUUUGCCUCACAAGCAGCAUGUUGUCUCUGGUAUUUAACUAGUAUGUGUAGAAAUGCAUGUGGGANNNNNNNNNNGCCCUUUUGUAUUUUUUGCUUAUUCCUUGCUGUUUUAUCUUUUGAUUGCAAGAUUGGUGCUACAACUUGCUUAGUCACCAUGUGGGGUAUUUUAUUUCUCCUCACAAGCAACAUGUUGUCUCUGGUAUUUAACUAGUAUGUGUAGAAAUGCAUGUGGGAUAAUUGUGUGAGUGUAAGUGUGAGCUAAGUCAUGUGUGUGUGCGUAUGCACUAGGUUUGAAUGUGAAGAUGUAUGUGGUGUGUUUCUCUUAUGCUUGGUGUUGAUCUCAUGCACUAGUGGGUGCAAUAGGUGUGUGUGUGUGUGUGGGUCCCCCCCACAUACCUUGUGUUUAUUUGUGCUUAGGUUUAUGACUACAUGUGGUGCAACUCCUAUGCAUGUUUACUUGUGNNNNNNNNNNGUGCAUAGGUUUAUGACUACAUGUGGUGCAACUCCUAUGCAUGUUUACUUGUGUGGUGCAAGCAUCCAAGAGUGGUGUAUGAACAUAUCUCCAUGUGCAUGUGAUUGUGAGUUUUACUUAUGAUGUGUGCUUGUGCGUGUGUGUGUCACACACAUGCCCAAGGCAUGAUGUGCCUUGAUGAGCANNNNNNNNNNCGCACCCAAGAGUGGUGUAUGUACAUAUCUACAUGUGCAUGUGAUUGUGAGUUUUACUUAUGAUGUGUGCUUGUGUGUGUGUGUGUCACACACAUGCCCAAGGCAUGAUGUGCCUUGAUGAGCACAUGAGCAGCUAGUAUGUAUGGAUGUGUAGGAAUGCAUGUUAUGAAGUGUGUGUGUGUGAAUGGUGAUGUGCUAUGCCACACAUACAUGAGGUCUAAAUCCUCAUGUCACCAUUGGAGUGUUGAUAGUGUGCAUAUGGUUGUGUAGGNNNNNNNNNNUGAAUAGUGAUGUGCUAUGGCACACAUACAUGCGGUCUAAACCCUCAUGUCACCAUUGGAGUGUUGAUAGUGUGCAUAUGGUUGUGUAGGUAAUGAUCUAGUGAGAAGCACAUGUGAUGAUGCACUAUUCACCUCUAUGUGAUUCCAUGUAUAUCUUCUUCUUAGCUUUGUGCUCAUUUGUUCUAUGCAAGUGCAUAUGUAUUAUAUAUGUUUUUGGCGUAGAAUCAUCCCAGGAAUCCAAUGGUGGGUUCAGAUUCCACUUUGGAACACAUUCUCGGAAUGUCAUAUUUCUGUUUCGUUCAAUGUUUAGAGCUUGGUUCCAUGUGAUGUGAUGAGCCCAAGAGGUUGAAUCCUUGUUCUGGCAGUAGAGGGUGAACCCCCCUAUAGCAUGUUGGUUUUGUUUCAUGCUUAGGAGUUCAUAUGUGCAUGUUGUGCCUAGUCAAAGUAGGCAUGUGGCUGAAAAUUCCAGUUUCACUAAGUCUGAGAAUCUGCUUAUAUUUUCUUCUCCUGUUGUUGUGCUUGUANNNNNNNNNNNNNNNNNNNNNNNNNNNNNNNNNNNNNNNNNNNNNNNNNNNNNNNNNNNNNNNNNNNNNNNNNNNNNNNNNNNNNNNNNNNNNNNNNNNNUAUAAAUAUAUCAUCUUUGACACCGUCUAUGAUUGUGAACACUAAUUAAAGUAUUACAUGCUAAGAGGUAGAUGUUGGACAAGGAAGACAACAUAAUGAAUUAUGUUUGCUUGGUUCCGAACAAUGUUAUAUGACUAGAGAUCCCUUAGCAUAUGACGAUUGCUUCCACCUCAUAUCAGCCAAAACUUCUGCACUAAGUAGAGAUACUACUUGUGCAUCCAUAAACCCUCAACCCAGUUUUGCCAUGUGAGUCCACCAUACCUACCUAUGGAUUGAAUAAGAUCCCUCAAGUAAGUUGUCAUCGGUGCACGCAACAAAAAUUGCUCCCUGAAUAUGUAUGAUCUAUUAGUGUGUGGAAAACAAGCUUUGUACGAACCUGUGAUGAGGAAGACAUAAAAGCGACAGACUGCAUAAUAAAGUUCUUUAUCACAGGAGGCAAUAUAAAGUGACGUUCCUUCACACUAAGAGGUCACACAUCCAAACCUCAAAAGCGCAUGACAACCUCUGCUUCCGUCUGCGAAGAGCCUAUCUUGUACCUUUAUUUUUUAUCUUUAAAAGAGUCGUGGUGAUCAACACCAAUUCCUUAUUUCGCCAUUAUCUUGGCUAAUGUCAUGUGCUAGGGAAAGAUCUAUAUUCAUAUGUCAACUUGGAAGUAAGUAAUCAUGAAUUAUUAUUGUUGACAUUACCAUUGAGGUAAAUAGUUGGGAGGCGAAACUAUAAGCCCCUAUCUUUCUCUGUGUCCAAGUGAAACUUUGAUCUCAUGACCAUCAUGUGAGUUUUAGCAAUUGUAGAAGACUAAAAGAUGAUUGAGUAUGUGGAUUUGCUUUACAAGCUCUUAGUUGACUCUUUCUGAUGUUAUGAUAAAUAACAAUUGCUUCAAUGACUAAAGACUUUUGGUUGUUAAUUCUCCAUAAGGUUCUUGACCCAUACUUUACAUUGUGAAGGAAUUGCCACUUUAGCAUAAGAGAUUAUAUGACGAUAUUGCUGUUCUAAAUAUGAUCAUGAUGCUUGCAUGUCCGUAUUUUGUUUUAUCGGCACCUCUAUCUCUAAACAUGUGGGCAUAUUUAUUGAUCUCGGCUUCCGCUUGAGGACAAGCGAGGUUUAAGCUUGGGGGAGUUGAUACGUCCAUUUUGCAUCAUGCUUUUAUGUUGAUAUUUAUCGCAUUAUGGGUUGUUAUUACACUUUACGGUACAAUACUUAUGCCUUUUUCUCUCUUAUUUUAUAAGGUUUACAUGAAGAGGGAGAAUGCUCACAGUUGGAAUUCUGGGCUGAAAAAGGAGCAAGUUUGAGAUACCUAUUCUGCAUAACUCCAAAAGCCAUGAAAAUCAACGAGGAAUUAUUUUGGAAUAUAUAAAAAAAUACUGGGUGGAAGAAACACUCGAGGGGAGCCACCAGGAGGCCACAAGCCUACCAGGCGCGCCCUACCCCCCUGGUCGCGCCUGGUUGGCUUGUGGGCCCCUGUUACCCCUCCGGCUCCCAUCUUCUUCUAUAAGGAGAGUUUCGUCCCAUAAAAAAAUAAGAGGCGGCUUUCUGGAAGAGACGCCGCCGCCACGAGGCGGAACUUGAGCAGAACCAAUCUAGAGCUCCGGCAGGGCAGUCCUGUCGGGAAACUUCCCUCCUUGAGGGGGAAAUCGUCUCCAUCGUCAUCACCAACACUCCUCUCAUUGUAGGGGACUCAUCUCCAUCAACAUCUUCAUCAGCACCAUCUCAUCUCCAAACCCUAGUUCAUNNNNNNNNNNCGCGACUCCGAUUGGUACUUGUAAGGUUGGUAGUAGUGUUAAUUACUCUUUGUAGUUGAUGCUAGUUGGAUUACUCGGUGGAAGAUCAUAAGUUCAAAUCCUUAAUGAUAUUCAAUACCUCUAUGAUCAUGAACAUAAUUAUGCUUUGUGAGUAGUCACUUUUGUUCCUGAGGACAUGGGAUAAGUCUUGCUAUAAGUAGUCAUGUGAAUUUGGUAUUCGUUCGAUAUUUUGAUGCGUUGUAUGUUGUCUUUCCUCUNNNNNNNNNNNNNNNNNNNNNNNNNNNNNNNNNNNNNNNNNNNNNNNNNNNNNNNNNNNNNNNNNNNNNNNNNNNNNNNNNNNNNNNNNNNNNNNNNNNNCUCCUCCCACCUCGAGCCGACAGGAGCCUCCCAUCUCGCAACCCCCAGAUCCCCCGUCGGCCCCACUUCCUCCCUCUAGGACCGAGCCCCUUCCCCGCCGGCCGAAGCCCAUACCCCCAAGAACCCCAUCUCGCCGAGCGGAGCUCCCCGUCGGCGGCUCCAUCCCAGGGGCCCUCCUCACCGGGGCCCCUCUCGGCACGACCUCAUCGGCACCACCACCGCCGUCACCACCGUCACCGCUUCGUCCUCCUCCUCGCCAUCACCUCCGCCUCACGAGAACUCCGGCUUCACCGUGCCCUCUCGUCAACGUCGGUGAGCCCCUCCUCGGUCUCCUCCCACCAUCUCCUUCCUCGCGUCGUCCCGGUUCCGUUUCGGCAAACGGCGUUCCGAUCCGACGCCGUUAGGUUCGCGUAGGUGAUCUUGGAGAUGUGUCCCUCUCUUUGUGAUGUUGAGUUCACUGUUAAACACAGAGGUUGGAGAGAGAGAGUCUUUGAAAGAAAUAGAAAUAAAUGUUGUAUUGCGUAUGUAUGUAUGUAUAAAUGUCGUACGUAUUUUGUAUGUAUGAGAUGCACGUAUGUAUGUAUUUAUGUAUGUCGGUAUAUGGCGGUAUACGUUAAUUGUAUGGAUAUGUAUCUAUGGGUAAAAAUGUGUAUUUGGCCUAAGCCACUUACCGGUGGGCCAACCCACCCCGCUGUCUAUGACACGGAGGCCCCACACCCUCUUUUGAGAAAAUGUGAAAAUUAAAAUAUAAAUAUAAUAUAAUAUUUUUAUUAAUAAAUAAAUAGAUAUAUUAAUUAAUUAAUUAAUUGGGUAAUUAGAAUAAUUAGAGUAUGACACGUGGGUCCCCCACUAAAUUAAUCUGAUUAAUUACUAUUCAAUCUUAAUUAAAAACUUGUGUCUAUGACGCUCGGGACCCACUAGUCAGUUGACCAGUCAACUGUUGAUGUCAGCGUGACAUCAUGCUGAUGUCAUAAUAGCAUUUAAUUUAAUUAAUUAAAUUUGUUUUUAAUUCCUAAUUAUUGAAUAGAACUUUAAAAAUUAAUAUUAAUUAAUCCGUAAGUGAGAUCAAAAUAUUUUCAACAUGAAAGUUGAUCAGCAGAACGAGACGAACCUGGAUCCACUGUCCAUUCGUUUGUCACGCGUCCCUAGCAUAGCAAACAUGGAACAUUUCCAUCGUUUUCCAUCUGUCCGGUAGUAGCCCGAGACCCGGAAAAUAUCAUUAGAUAUUCUUCCGACCCGUCUAUGACCGAUGUUGUUGCGUUAGCUCAUGUCUAGCCUGCAUCUUGCCAUGUCAUGCUUUGUGUNNNNNNNNNNGUCAGAUAUUCUUCCAACCCGUCUAUGACGGAUGUUCCUGCGUUAGCUCAUGUCUAGCCUGCAUCUUGCCAUGUCAUGCUUUGUGUUGCAUCGUUGCUAUUAUUUAUUGUUUCUUCCCCCUCUUCUUACCGGUAGACCCCGAGGCUGGCGCUGAUGCCGGGUACAUCUACGACCCUACCGAUCAGUCCUUUGCUGCACAGCAGCAAGGUAAGCAAACCCCCCUUGAUCAUUCCUAUAUCGCCUAUGUCUUUCUUCCUACUGCCCGCAUUUGUAUUUUGCUACUGUUGUAGUUAGCUCCUAUAUCUGAUGCAUAGCCCAUUUUUGAUGAACUGCUACUUUCAGUCAUGUACCUUUAAUAUGCUUAGNNNNNNNNNNACGCUGCUGCCGGGUACAUCUACGACCGUGUCGAUCAGUCCUUUGCCGCAGAGCAGCAAGGCAGGCAAACCCCCCUUGAUCAUUCCUAUAUCGCCUAUGUCUUUCUUCCUACUACUCGCAUUAGUAUUUUGCUACUGUUGUAGUUAGCUCCUAUAUCUGAUGCGUAGCCUAUUUUUGAUGAACUGCUACUUUCAGUCAUGUACCUUUAAUAUGCUUAGUAUAGGUGGAGCAGUCAUCCCCUCUGACCCCGUAGUCCAGUUGCCCCGCUUGUUUUCAAAUCUCGAUCCCUCAUCGACGAGCCAGACCCGACACAGCACAUGCACCCCCCUUAGUUGUAUGACGCUACAGAGAUACUAUCGGGUACCAAGGGUGACACCUCGCUAAGUACUCCUGAUGAUAUCUCUGUAGUAUAGCNNNNNNNNNNNNNNNNNNNNNNNNNNNNNNNNNNNNNNNNNNNNNNNNNNNNNNNNNNNNNNNNNNNNNNNNNNNNNNNNNNNNNNNNNNNNNNNNNNNNCGGUCGUGGUUAUAGAGGGUGAUUCAUCUUUCACCAUUCCCAAUGAUGCCCCUGUCGUGCAACCCCUCAAGUGUAGGACCCCCGAGGGUGAUUCCUCUAAGCCCACCUUGACGGAUACAUCGUUCGUAAUCCAACGANNNNNNNNNNGACGUCGGCCGCCCUCGCAUCGUGCAGGAGCGCAAAGGGGAACUGGGCCCAUGAACCCUUUGCGCUUAGGAUUUAGACCGACUGGCAGGCCUCUCUGAUUAGUCUUAGGUGAGGCUGCGACGUAUCGAUAUUCCGAGGCCGGGCAGGACCCAAAAAAGUGUGUCCGGCCAGAGUGUUAUCGAGCGUGACGGGACAUGUGGUGCACCCCUGCAGGGAUGAAAAUUAACUAUUCGAAUAGCCGUGUUCACGGUUACAGUACGACUUGGAGUUGGGCCCUGAUCUUAUACAACUACAAUUUUUACUUAACUGGAUCAUUAGUUUGCCUCGGGUUUCCUUCCUCGCAGGGAGUCGAGGGAGGAUCUCUGGGCGUGACCUCACUUUAAUAAUGCUGCAACAAUAUGGCUAUUAAUGUGUUACCCCUGUUCGACUCUCGUCUAUUGCUGCAAGACCCUAAAGAUCCUAGUCUUCGAUAGGACUAGGCCUUCUCUCUCUAUUCUCGCAUUGCUGCAGUCAGUCNNNNNNNNNNUAUAUAACCACCACCCCCCUUCUUUGAUACUGAUGCAUACUUAGAAUAGUUCUGAUGUAAGACUUGCGAGUACUUUGGAUGAGUACUUACCGCUGCUUUGCUCCCCCCUUGUCCCCAUGAUCCGUUUGCUGCAACCAGAUGAUGGAGCCCAGGAGAUGGAGGCUCCCGCCGACGAUGACUGCUACCCCGACGGUGCCUACUUCUACGUGGAGGCCGCUGAUGAUCAGGAGUAGUUAGGAGGCUCCCAGGCAUGAGGCCUCGCCUCGUUCGAUCGUUGUAUCUUUUGUGCUAGCCUUCUCUAAGGCACCCNNNNNNNNNNNNNNNNNNNNNNNNNNNNNNNNNNNNNNNNNNNNNNNNNNNNNNNNNNNNNNNNNNNNNNNNNNNNNNNNNNNNNNNNNNNNNNNNNNNNGAGAAGGAGCUCCUCCUUCUCCUUCUUCUUCCUCCUUCCUCCUUCUCUUUCUCCUUCUUCUUUUCUUCUUCUUCUCCUCUCCUUCUCCUCCUCCUCCUCCUUCUUUUACUUCUUCUUCUCUUUCUCUUCUUCUACGUAGCUUAGACUCAUCCAAGAAAGCCUAAAUUGGCUAAUUAUCCAUCUAAAUGACAUAAUUAGCUUAGUUAGCUCCAAAAUGACCUAUUUAAUAAAAAAUGGCCUAUACUUAGCUAAUUAUCCUCAAAAUGACAUAAUUAGCUCCAAAAAGGCAUUCUUAUCCAAUUUAGCCCGAAGAAGGGGACGAGAGGAGAAGAAAGAGGAAAAAUGAAAGGAAGGAAGAAGAAGAAGAGGAGAAGAAGAAGAAGGAGAGGGAGGAGGAUAAGAAGAAGGAGAAGAAGGAGGAGAAGAAGGAGAAGGAGCUCCUCCUUCUCCUUCUUCUUCCUCCUUCUUCCUCCUUCUCCUUCUCCUUCUUAUUUUCUUCUUCUUCUCCUCUCCUUCUCCUCUUCCUCCUCCUCCUCCUCCUUCUUUUACUUCUUCUUCUCUUUCUCUUCUNNNNNNNNNNNNNNNNNNNNNNNNNNNNNNNNNNNNNNNNNNNNNNNNNNNNNNNNNNNNNNNNNNNNNNNNNNNNNNNNNNNNNNNNNNNNNNNNNNNNUCUGCCCCCUCAUGGCAAAGAUUCUUUGCCGUCUGCUUUGGGAAAGUAGACGGCAAAGAACCUCUUCACCGGAUUUUUUUUACCGUCUACUUUGCCGUCAGCUGACCGACGGCAAAGCCUUUGCCGUCCGUGGUUGCACCCUUUGCCGUCUGCUUUGGCAGACGGCAAAUUUCUGAAUUUCAGUAGUGGGGUUCUGGGAGCGGGGUGGAUGAGGAAGUGUCGAUGGGGGUUGGGGUAACGAGAGAGAGGCCGAGAGGAUUCUCUCGGUGGGUGGGGUUGGUGGGUAAGGUGGGGCUCGGGAGGGUGUGUGCCGAGGGGAGGAGGGAACGUGGUGGCGGCAGCCAGGGAGCGAGGGGAGCCAGGGGCGCCCCUAGGUUUUCCUGCGGGGCUGGUGGAUGGCCUGGCCGGCUGGGCCACUAGGCCGAAUUGGGCCAUGGGGUUUCCUCUAGUUAGUUUUUAUUAUUAUUUCUAAUUCCUUUUAUUAUCUAAUUUUAUUUACUUUCUUUUAUAAUUUAUUUUAUAUACUUAUAAUUCUUUCUUAUAUUUAUUUAUUUUCAUUUACUAUAUUUCUUUUAUUUAUUUGAUUUAAAGCUCCACUUUUAAAUAUAUAGGGGUUACCCAUAAUUUCUAAAGUGCCUGAUUUGAUAUUAUAAUCCGCUAGGGAAUUUUUAUAACUCCCCGACGUUUUAUUUCAACAAUAUAAAAUCUUUUCUCGUCCGACUUUAAUUUUAAGUUUGGAACUUUGAUUCGGUUUCAACCAACACGAGAUCAUUGAUAUAAUUAACGAUGACGUGGCCUGAUUAGCACGGGAUCACUGUCGCUUAAUUACAANNNNNNNNNNNNNNNNNNNNNNNNNNNNNNNNNNNNNNNNNNNNNNNNNNNNNNNNNNNNNNNNNNNNNNNNNNNNNNNNNNNNNNNNNNNNNNNNNNNNAAGCUUAUUGGGCAAUCAAAGAGCUCAACUUUGAUUUCAAACUAGCUGGUGAGAAGAGGUUAUUUGACAUUAGCUCGCUUGAUGAGUGGAGAACUCAGGCAUAUGAGAAUGCCAAGUUGUUCAAAGAAAAGGUUAAGAGGUGGCAUGAUAAGAGGAUACAAAAGAGUGAGUUCAAUGUAGGUGAUUAUGUCUUGCUAUAUAAUUCUCGUUUAAGAUUCUUUGCACGCAAGCUUCUCUCUAAAUGGGAAGGUCCCUAUAUUGUUGAGGAAGUAUAUCGUUUCGGUGCUAUCAAGAUCAACAACACGAAAGGUAAUUGUCCGAGAGUGGUAAAUGGGCAGAGAAUCAAGCAUUAUAUCUUAGGUACUUCCAUAAAUGUUGAAAGCAAUAUCAUCAAUACCAUAACUGCGGAGGAAUACCUAAGGGAUGUUUAUCAGCCUGUUUCAGACUCCAAAAAUGAAGAGGUAUGUGAUUCGGUAAGAAAACAGAUUCCAAAACUUUUCCAAUAGGAUUUUUUCUCCGUUUUGGAAUAUUUGAAAAAAUAGAAAAAUUGGAAGUAGUCCGGAAAGCGCGCGAGGAGGCGACAAGCCUGCCAGGCGCGGGCCCACCCCCUGGCCGCGCCUCGGGGCUUGUGGCCACCUCGUGUGCCUCCCGGACUCCAUUUUCGUGCGGAGUACUCCUUCUAGUCUAGAAAAAAAUCAAUAUAUAUUCUCCCGUAAGGUCUGACCCCUGUAUCACGCAGAUUUCCUCUAUUUUUCGUUUCGAGCCUGUUUGUGUUGCAGAUCUAGAUCGCUAUGACUUCCCCAAAAGCUUCGAAGGACAAGAUCUUCGAGAAGGUCAUCAAUCCCUACCUCACGGGAGUGCUGCAACACCCUCAAUCUAUCGAGAUGCGUGAGGGGAUGUUGCACAUCUGUGAUGUUGAGGGGCCCAAGAAGACCGGAAGCAUGGAGACGAGGCUCGAAGCAAUGGAGCAACAAGUCUUCAAGUGCCAAGGGAUGGUGGAGCGUGGACUCAACGCCAACCACAUGAUGAUCACGGAGUUCACCAACAAGCACAAGAUUGAUGCCAAUGACAUUGGGAAGCACCUCUCCAGGCUCUAUGACAUGAUUGAUCAACUCGAGGCCCAGAUCUAUGACCUGCAGAACCAAAACUGUGAGUAUGAGUAUAGAUUUAAAUCAAUACGGUUGGCUGCAAAUUUGAGGAUUCCGGGGACUCGUUCCUCUUUCCAUGAUGGAGCACCUAUGCCUUGGAAUACGGAGGAUCAAGCCCAUGUUGCAACAACUCCACCACCAUCACCUCCAAAGGAAGACAACUGAGAAUGGGUAUGGGCAAUCCCCUUGGCUUGUGCCAAGCUUGGGGAGUUGCCCCGGUAUCGUAUCACCAUCACAUCUUUUGCCUUUACCUUUGUUUUAGUUUGUUCCUUUUCAGUUUUCUUUUUCUCUAGUAGUUUAAAAGUCUUAGUGUUUUAGUCUUGAGUUUUGCCUUGUGUCACCCCUGAUGUAUUCGAGCUCGUGAGACAUAUAAUAAAGAGUGUCUUAGUUGAAGGGCUUUGCCUCUUGCCAUGAUCAAAAGAGUGAGAAAAGAACAAAAGCAUGAAAGAUCAUGUAAUGAUCUUAUGGGAAGUGAUGGCUUCACAUAUAAAAAGAAUGAUGAUUGGAACUUGUUGAGGGUAGACAAACGUAGACCUUGGUCAUUGUUGCAAUUAAUAGGAAGUGAUAAGGAAGGAGAGGUUCACAUAUAAAUAUAUCAUCUUUGACACCAUCUAUGAUUGUGAAUACUCACUAAACUAUUGCAUGCCUAGAAGUAGAUGUUGGACAAGGAAGACAACAUAAUGAAUUGUGUUUGUUUGGUUCCGAACAAUGUUAUAUGAUUAGAGAUCUCUUAGCAUGUGACGAUUGCUUCCACCUCAUAUUAUCCAAAACUCCCGCACCAAGUAGAGAUACUACUUGUGCAUCCAUAAACCUUCAACCCAGUUUUGCCGUGAGAGUCCACCAUACCUACCUAUGGAUUGGAUAAGAUCGCUCAAGUAAGUUGUCAUCGGUGCAAGCAAUAAAAAAUGCUCCCUAAUAUGUAUGAUCUGUUAGUGUGUGGAAAAUAAGCUUUGUACGAACCUGUGAUGAGGAAGACAUAAAAGCGACAGACUGCAUAAUAAAGUUCUUUAUCACUAAUGUUGUGAUAAAUUUCAAUUGCUUCAAUGACUAAAGGCUAUCGGUUGUUACUUCUCGGUAAGGUUCUUGAUCCAUACUUUACUUUGUGAAGGAAUUGUCACUUUAGCAUGGGAGAUUAUAUGUUGGUAUUGUUGUUCUGAUCAUGAUCAUGAUGCCUGCAUGUUCGUAUCUUGUUUUGUCGACACCUCUCUCCCUAAACAUAUGGACAUAUUUAUUGAGCUAGGCUUUCGCUUGAGGACAAGCAAGGUCUAAGCUUGGGGGAGUUGAUACGUCCAUUUUGCAUCAUGCUUUUAUGUUGAUAUUUAUCGCUUCUUGGGCUGUUAUUUCACUUCACGGUACAGUUCUUAUGCCUUUUCUCUCUUAUUUUGCAAGGUUUACUUGAAGAAGGAGAAUGCCGGCAGCUGGAAUUCUAGCCUGAUAUUGGAGCAAGUUUGAGAUACCUAUUCUGCGCAACUCCAAACGCCGUAAAAAUCAACAAGGAUUUUUUUCCGGAUUUAUAAAAAAUACUGGGCCGAAAAAGUGCCGGAGGAGCGUAACCAGGGAGCCACAAGCCUGGUAGGCGCGGCCACCCCCUGGCUGCGCCUAGGGGGCUUGUGGGCCCCCUGCCGGACCACUGCCCCCCUCUUCUGCUAUAUGAAGGGUUUUGUCUGGGAAAAAAUCAAGAGGAGGCUUUUUCGAGGAUUCGCCGCCGCCACGAGGCGGAACUUGAGCAGAACCAAUCUAGAGCUCCCGCAGGACGAUUCUGCCAGGGAAACUUCCCUCCUAGAGGGGGAAAUCGUCGCCAUCGUCAUCACCAACACUCCUCUCAUCGGAGGGGACUCAUCACCAUCAACAUCUUCAUCAGCACCAUCUCAUCUCCAAACCCUAGUUCAUCACUUGUAACCAAUCUCCGUCUCGCGACUCCGAUUGGUACUUGUAAGGUUGCUAGUAGUGUUAAUUACUCCUUGUAGUUGAUGCUAGUUGGAUUACUUGGUGGAAGAGUUUAUGUUCAUAUCUUUGAUGCUACUCAUUACCUCUCUGGUCAUGAAUAUGAUUAUGCUUUGUGAGUAGUNGAACGUCGACUACAUAACACUUCACCAUUAUUUGGGCCUAGAGGAAGGCAUUGGGAAGUAGUAAGUAGAUGAUGGGUUGCUAGAGUGACAGAAGCUUAAACCCUAGUUUAUGCGUUGCUUCGUAAGGGGCUGAUUUGGAUCCACUAGUUUAAUGCUAUGGUUAGACUUUGUCUUAAUUCUUCUUUCGUAGUUGCGGAUGCUUGUGAGAGGGGUUAAUCAUAAGUGGGAUGCUUGUCCAAGUAAGGGCAGUACCCAAGCGCCGGUCCACCCACAUAUCAAACUAUCAAAGUAACGAACGCGAAUCAUAUGAACAUGAUGAAAACUAGCAUGACAAAAAUUCCCAUGUGUCCUCGGGAGCGUUUUCCCUCCUAUAAGACUUUGUCCAGGCUUGUCCCUUGCUAUAAAAGGGAUUGGGCCACUUUGCUGCACCAUUGCUACUUUUGUUACUUGUUGUUUGCUACGAAUCAUCUCACCACACAACCACUUGUUACCGAUAAUUUCAGUGCUUGCAGAUAUUUCCUUGCUGAAAACCACUUGUCAGAUCCUUCUGCUCCUCGUUGGGUUCGACACUCUUACUUAUCGAAAGGACUAAGAUAGAUCCCCUAUACUUGUGGGUCAUCAAAGACCGCGAGUGAUGAGGACGAACUCUGACGACAACGACGGCAUGACUCAUUGGCUUCUCGUGGUCCGGACUCUGGUGAAGACUCGAGCAGACCGAGGUGGUGAUAUGUAGAAGGUGAAGGAAAGGAAAUACAAGGAUUUUGGUUGGUCUAUUUAUAAGGGGGGAGUGAACCCGAAACGACAUGACAAAAAUAGUGGAGUUAUAAUGAUUAACAACGGCUAGGUUGCCUCAAUUUUUGUGCCUCACCAGAUUUGGCGGUUGUUAAAUUAAGAUUCGCCAUCAUGACAUGUCCACGUCAGCAGCCAGCAUGAUGAUAUCAUGGAGAAGGAGGUAAAAAAGAAACUAAGUAUUGAACAGAAGAAAUAAGCCGACAUAUUAUUGACCCGGACACAUCAUCAGCAAGGAGAAAAAAUACCGUCUAAAGGGUAAAAGGAUCAAAACUUAACUUCAUUUGUGCCCGCUCUUUUUCUUUGUGAGGAUGGAGUUUAACAUGGAUGAAACCAAAUUAAACCGGGGGCUAAUGUUGGGGAUAUACCCCAUGACGUGACCCACCCAGGGGAUGACCCGACCUUUCUAAUUCAGCCCAAGAACAAGAUUAUUCAUAUGAUACAUGAGGCCUAGGGGGCGGCUCAUCCUGAAGGUCGGGUUGAAGAAGAUCACCUGGUGGGCCGGCUUAUUACAGAAGACACAAGAAGCUUUCCCUACUUAGAUGACAAGAUGAGUAGGAAUUAGACUAGGUCACAGGUUGCAGUACGACCCGGACUCUGUUGUAAUCUCAGGGCCUCAACCUAUGUAUAAAAGGUGAGCCCGUGAGGUAGAGGGGACAUGUUAGAAAUUCUCGAGAGCUAGGUUAGCGAUUCCACACCCCUGUAGUCGAGAUCAUCAUCACUAACACCAAAAGCACGACGUAGGCUUUUACCUGUACCGGAGGGGCCGAACCUGGGUAAAGUCUCGUCUCUCAUUCUCGAUCAACCCCAUCCAAGCAACCACCUAGUUCAGAUGGCCCCUAUACUUAGUCCUAUCACGAGAACAUCUGGCGUGACAAAACCACGACACCCCCGGCCUCUACAUCUGGGCGAUGCAUGCAUCCAUUUUAUUAAUUAUUCACAAAGACUACACAAAAUAAUACAUCAGUAAGCCUGAAGUCACCAUCUUGGCAACACGUGUCGCUACUCCUAUCCCCUUGAUAAAGGGGUGCCGAAUGUCCGAGCCGAAUACCAAACAAACAUCGUACCAAAGCCUAACAUCUAAAUAGGGAUGUCCCAACCAAGCUACAAUGCCGUGACUGGGUCACACACCGGUCUGGUGCACUCUAAUAGGCCGCCGCCACCAUCCUCCACUGAUCCAUCUUGAGAGCACGUACUAACGCAACAACCUUUCCACGCGUGCCAUCGACGCCACCACGACGUUAGACAACGCCCACCAUCCUGCAUGUAUCCAUGCACACAUGUCCGUCGCCGAAACUCCGCAAUGCCAUGCUGUCGGGAUCCACUGUCGGCCUUGCGGUAGAUAUAACACCGCUUCUCCCGUUGUCCCCUCCAGCCAGCACUUUCUCCACCAGGAGGAAGAGCGACAUUGAGAGUGUCGUCAUCGUUCGGUCCGGGAGGCCCAGAUUUAGGGUUUCCCUCAGAGCAUCCCGGGCAUGAUGACACAAACUGCAACGAUGAUGCCUCGACAAGGAAACGACAUCGAAGAUGCCGCCAUCAUCGACCAUGACCUUAGUCGGCGCGAUUUUCAUCGACAAUCGUGCCACCAGGCCGUGUGCCGCCAACGCCGCUGGUCCCUUCAACUGGAGCAAACUCCAUAAAUGGUGCCCUCAAAAGGGACUACGACGUACAAGCACCGCAUCGCUCGAUCUCAAGGAGAUUUAGGGUUUCCCCCGAAGUUGUCCACUUUGUGAAGGACCACACAAGGGUUGAAGAUCCACUGAGUUGUCGACAUGCCACACCCGCCAAAGUGCCGUCUGCAACCCGGUGGCCAUGAACGGAAGCCAGACACCGGACAUCACACACACGUUCAGCCACAGGCCACGACCAUAUCUGGUGAGGCCAACGACCCCAUCUUGGUCAUGGCCGCAAGAGCGGGAUCUCCCCGAUGUGGCCAAAGAGCGCCGACACAAGACGAUCCUUGACCUACACAGCCGACCACCGCUCGUUGAGUAUUGCUGCCGUAUGCCCAGAUGCACAUCUAACCGGGACGACGUCAACCGCCACCAGGUCCUGUCGCCCACAGAGCAAGGGAAGGCCGCGAGAGAUGGGCCCCGUCGCCGCCAUCAGCCACACGGGCUAUGCCCGACGGCGUCCUCCGGCGAUGGCAGGUGGGAAGAGAGGAGCCGCCCUCACAUCAUCCUAGGCAUGAGCGACCGAGGGGUUCUAGCGUUCUGUACAUUUAUACAUAAAUAUUAGGAUUAAAUUUUUAAGCGAACCAAUAUAUGGUUGGAUCGUUAAAAGGACAAUAUUAUCUCUCGUCAGAGUUUAAGUCAUAGACUUCAUAUUGCUGCUUGUAUUUUUCUAGAUUCAUUCUAGACCUUUCAGUGAUGUGCGUUAAGUGGGAAGAUACGUUUCUGUCGACUACGAAUGCGUUUGUGUCAACUUCGUCAAUCUUAAAAUGAUGUGUCGACUUAGUGUUUCGAAUGUAGUCAUAAGGGUAAGGUGUGUGUGCGUUUUCAGGAAUGAGUGUAUAUAUGUAUGUAUGAGCGUAAUUCAUCAACUAAAAUAAAUGGAAUUGAAUUCUGGAAACUAGGUGCUAGAGAAAUCAGGGUCGUUAUUCUUCGGCUAAUAAUUACUCCAUAUAACAAUCUAAUCGUCCCUGCGUCGCCUUUCGGGCGGCUCGGGCGGAAAGCCACCAUGCCGCUGCCACGCCCUUCUCGCCCCUUCCUCACCUCGCCAUCGCUGGAGGAGGCCGUCGGGCUAAGCCUGCGUGGCGGACGACGACGGCGAGGCUUUCCUUUCCUCUCGCUCGGCGGGAGGCGCACGCGGUGGGGGAGGCUCGACCCCAUCUGCUGCGUUGCUUGGGGCUGCAGCACCUUGGGCUGUUGGAUGGGCUUCGGCCGACGGAUCUUCGCCGGCGGCCUGGGGGUGUGGCAGCCUCCCUUGGCCUCCCCGCAUCUGCAUCGGGCGAAGGCGGUCUUCCCGCGGCUCCUUGGUGUGGCGUUUGGAGGAUGCUUCGGCGGCGGUGCGGAUUGUCUGAUCCGGGACUCCCAGAUCCGGCCCUCUCGCGACAGUCUGGGGCUCCGGUGGUGGAUAUGGCGAUGCGGGGUGCGGUGGGCUGGAUCCAGCUGGUUCGGGACGGGGUGGCAACCCUCCCUCCCGGCUCUGGUGGUGCUCGUUGGUUGCAGUGCGGUGGUGCAGUGGUGGUGGGCGUCAGAUGAUGGCCCGGCUUGGCGCACGGGAGGUGAGCGAGUCAGUGGAUUGCUGCGUGUGAGGGUGAUGUCCAAGAUGUUCCGGGUGAAAGCCUGCACGGUUGUGUGCUCCGGCCGACGUGGUGCUGGUUGGAGCUGCUAGUCUCCCUGGUGCAGUGGCCUCUACGUGGUGUAGGUGGUCCUGCCGGUGGUAUGUCUGGAGGCGCCACCCUUUCUCAGAUCCGGUUCGUUGGUGGAUGGUGGUGGUGGUCAGGUUGUGUUGUUCAUCGACGGUUGCUCGUCUCCUUGGUGUUGUGUGGCUCGAUCGAUGAUUCCUGGGUCCGACGUCUUUGAUCUGCUUCUGCCGGAGGUCGCUCUCUGUUGGCAGUGGCCGAGCUCCUUCCCCGGUGCUUCUAAUAGGUGGAGAGGCUUAGGGCUCUGGGCGAAAGCCUUGGUUCGAUGGGGAUCGAAGGAUACCGAUGGCAUUGCUUCUUGAAGUUACCGUCGAAGAGUUCCUACUCUUCACUAGUCCGUGGUUUGUCGGUUCUAGGGCUGCCCUGUAGGCUGUUUCGUGUGGCUGAACUUUCCCGAGGUCCGGCGGAGUUGUUGUGGAUGUCUCUGGGCGAAAGCCUUGGUUCGAUGGGGGUCGAAGGAUACCGGCGACGAUGCUUCUUGAAAGCGUCGCCGAAGAGUCCUCACACCUCUUUAGGUUUGUGGGCGUGUUGGUGGUGGAGUUUGAGUUGUCGACGUCGGCAAGAGUUGGGUUGUUGUACGAUUCUCGUGUGUUGUAAGUUUUUUUUGUCUAGUUUUCCUUAUAAACAGGGCCACUUUGUUCUCUUUUUUCCUCUCUUAGAGCAUGGUUAAUAAUAUAGCCAACAAUCGGUUAUAAAAAGUUGCCAUAUCAGAUAGAGCCAACCUAAUAGCCGGCAUAUACAAUACUCCCCGCAUCAUAGUCUAUAAGGCAUGUACAUGUAUCUAGGUCGUCAAUUUAACUUAUAUAAAAUAUAUUAUUUAACAUAAAAAUUAUAUCAUUAGAAAAUAGAACAUCUAAAGUUUCUAAUGAUUUUUUUUAAUAUAUGUUUCCCAUUAAAUUGGUCAAAUUGACGACCUAUAUACACGUGUCGGACUUAUAAACUGAAACGGAGGGAGUAAUAAGUUUUAGAUGUGUAAUACUUUAGUAGUAGUUGGCCCACCUUACAAUCUCACAAAGUGUCUUGUGUCUCGUGUUGCAGCUGACUACUUAUCAAGAGCCCGUUUCUCUUCUCCCUCCUUUUCUUCUCCAACUAAGUAAGAAUAUAAUAUUCUAAUUCUUAUAGCCUACUUAUGUCACCUUAUUGUACUUGCUAAUAAUGAAAAUCAAGAAUGCUCCUGCCUUGCACCGUUGCACGUCGAAACCAGGGCCGUUCAACCUUUCUGCAAAACGAACAAAACGCCUCAAUAUUUCGAAGAUAACGAACGCAUCUAUCUGCCCGGAUACGUGACUAAUGGAGGCGUUGCGCGUAUGGAGGGCUUCCUCCAAUCUCCUCGGCUUCGCGGCCUCCCGCGCCGCCGCCGCCGCCGCCUCGGCCGGGAGGGCCCAUCGUUUUCACAUCCGCUGCUGCUCUCCGGCUGCUGCCGCCACCACGAAGCCGCCGCAGGACCGGCGCCGCCGCAGCGCCUCCUCAUCCUCCACCUCCGACCGCGACUCUAUCCGCGCCAUUCGCCUAAAAAAGGUCAGCUCUUCGUCAGCCGCAACUUGCCAGUUGCCACGCCUCUACUUGAACGCUGUUAGGCAAACCAUUCUACUCCCCACAAUCUGUGGCCGAUACAGCUGUGAAUCUGCUUGAGAUCAGCAGCUUAUUUGGCUUGCUAGGUCGAGGAGCUAAGAGGGAUGGGUUACGAGCCGUAUGCGUACAAGUGGGACAGGACUCACACGACCAAGGAGCUUCAGGAGAGGUACACCCAUCUCGAGGAUGGUGAAGUCUGCACCGAGGCGGCGGUUUCCAUUGCUGGUAGGAUCGUUGCCCGAAGAGCAUUUGGAAAACUUGUUUUCAUGACCAUAAGAGACGACUCCGGAACUAUUCAGGUUCGAUCUUCAAAUGAUUUGCCAUCUAUUGCCAGUCAAAUUACCUGUGUGAAUCAGACAAGGAUUGUUGCUUUAUAAUUUUCCAAUAGCAAUAUGUUUUCUGCCUGACCUUGUAUUUGAAACUGGCUAAACAUGUCAUUGCAAAUAUUAAAAUUGGUUGCCCUAUGAGUUAGAAAAGUUUGGUCAGAACUCUGGAAAUUCAGCUUCUUAGCCACUGGAAAGUGAGCCGUACGAUAGUUUGGCAACAAACCAAGUGAAGGUCAAAUACAAUGAUUUGUUUACUUUCAAAUAGUAGUUGUCUCAAGAAGCCCUGAACUUAGUGUUACAUACUACUCACUCUUCUUAAUAUAUGUCAAUGUUUUUGUGCUCCAUUUUUGCAUAUUAUCUACUCCCUCUGUACCUAAAUAAUUGUAGUUGGGGAGANNNNNNNNNNNNNNNNNNNNNNNNNNNNNNNNNNNNNNNNNNNNNNNNNNNNNNNNNNNNNNNNNNNNNNNNNNNNNNNNNNNNNNNNNNNNNNNNNNNNNNNNNNNNNNNNNNNNNNNNNNNNNNNNNNNNNNNNNNNNNNNNNNNNNNNNNNNUCUCCCCAACUACAAUUUUUUAGGUACAGAGGGAGUAGAUGUGUGAGGCAUGUGAACGCCUGAAUCCAAACUAAACGGACCAGUAUUUGUCUAUUUGAUGCGAGAUAUUUAACUGAUCGAACAUCCGAUUCUUAUGAAAAUCUGAGCACAUUCUAAAGCAGCUUAUGAUGGACACAAAGUUGUUUCACUAUCCAAUUCAAAUUCUGUUUGUAUGACCUUAACUUGACAAUUUUAGUUUGCCUGGUAGGUAAGCUUAAGACUGCACUAAACACUUUAAUCAUGUACUCUGUGGAUUUGUUGAACAUUAGUAAAAGGCCAUCAGGUGACAUUGUAUGUUGUGACUAUUGUUUCCAUUGGAGUUUGGCUUCUUCCCGAUGCAGAUGAAGUCUACCAGAUCAUGUUCUGCAGUUUACAAUUUGUAUUUCUUGUGGCUAGUACCUACUAGAACUUGGUGGUUAUUCAUUUAAUUGUUGAAGAUAUUUUGCGCGAUAUACAUUAUAAAACUUCCCUUUUGGCAAUUGUUAGCUUUACUGUGAGAAAGAAAGCCUUACGGAGGAGCAGUUUGAGCAACUGAAGGCAUUUAUUGAUGUUGGCGAUAUCUUAGGUGCAAGUGGGUCCAUAAAGAAGACAGAAAAAGGUUUAGUAUUAAUAAUCCUUAUACUGAUGUGUCAAUACUGUCUAUUAUAUUUGGGAUUUUCUUUUUGUCAGUCGACUGAGAAUGAGUUAAACCUCAGUCGACCGAGUUGCACAUUACCAAGCCUAAACUUGCACAGAAAAUUCACAUCCAGGAAUAGGCUCCAUGCACUUUUCCAAACCUAAAAUUGCAUUCAACUGUUAUUUGUAUAGUUUUUUUCUUCUGUUCUCUGUAGGUGUAAAAUCCCACAAUUCCAAUAUAUUAAGAGAAAAUAUGUGCAAUAGUUAAAGGGUCAGAAUAUGCAAAGAAGCUAACCUAGGGUGGUAGGAAAGAGAUCCAGCGUAUCAACCUAUCUCUAUGCUUGAUCUUAACCCUAUGAGCUAGCAGAGAGAUACCACGAACAAAGUUGCAGCGCCAUGCUGUAAAAGAGGGCUUGCAGAAACAAAAACCUUGCCAUUAUGCUGAAGCCAAGUGUGCCAGCAAACUAGAAACACCACCUCAGAGAAGAAAGGCUCCCCAAAUCCCUCCCUUGCCGCCCAAGCAAUCUGGUGCAUGUUGCCACCUCCAGAUCAGUCAAUUUGCAAAUAAUUCCACACACGGCAACUAAAAUUGCUCAGUCACCUCGUCACAUAGUUCUUAAAUUUGGCCAUCCGAAAAAAGUCGAAAUAUCAACUUAGCAUGUUAGGCUGUUUCACGAUCGAAGUGGUACUCCCUCCAAUCCAUAUUACUUGUCGCAACUUUAGUACAACAAAAAUGAGCUACAUAGCAGAAUGCUGCAAAGUUACCAAGGACAUGUGUUAGUAGGUCUGGUUAUAGCAUUAUAGCAGCAUGAAAUCUCUGUGAAUGACUAAAGUUUAUAUAUCAUAAAAAAAACUCGGCUAACAGGCACCAUCACCGUUGCAUUUUUAACCAGAAGAAACUACCAUGAGGUGGAGGCCAAGCUUCGAACCUGAGUGGACUGAGCACGCGCACUCAUGCCUCUAGCCAACUGAAGGAUGCACAGUUCUUAAAGUUUAUAUAUUAUGGCAGCUAAAUACUAUUACCUGGGGUAGAUGAGUUCUGUUCAUGCCACUUUAUGUACACAUUACAAUGUCAUAUAGUUUGUUCAGGUGCUAGUAAUCUAGCAUGCAUUUAGAUAGCUCAAUAUUCACUAUAGUUCUUCUA
RNAcentral lists this long non-coding RNA (33512 nucleotides) under Hordeum vulgare. Its description in RNAcentral is "long non-coding RNA (HVUL_LNC016190)". The record is from RNAcentral. Lineage: Eukaryota; Viridiplantae; Streptophyta; Magnoliopsida; Poales; Poaceae.